GAUUAAGCCAUGCAUGUGUAAGUAUAACUAAUUUACUUUGAAACUGCGAAUGGCUCAUUAUAUCAGUUAUAGUUUAUUUGGUGAAGGAUACUAAUUGGAUAACCGUAGUAAUUCUAGGGCUAAUACAUGAGUAAAGCCCCGUUGGGAUGUGUUUAUUAGAAUGAAAACCAUAUGCUUCGGAAUGAUAGUGAGUAAUAGUAACCUAUCGUAUCGCAUGCUUAAUGUAGCGAUGAGUCUUUCAAGUUUCUGCCCUAUCAGCUUUCGAUGGUAGCAUAUGGGUCUACCAUG
This 288-nucleotide ribosomal RNA is filed under the name Blastocystis sp. RNAcentral's name for it is "partial small subunit ribosomal RNA". It matches the Rfam family "Eukaryotic small subunit ribosomal RNA", at positions 42 to 348 of the family's 1831-position model. The record is from RNAcentral. Lineage: Eukaryota; Bigyra; Opalinata; Blastocystidae.